RNAcentral lists this long non-coding RNA (571 nucleotides) under Mus spicilegus (steppe mouse). Its description in RNAcentral is "lncRNA (ENSMSIG00000020739.1)". Lineage: Eukaryota; Metazoa; Chordata; Mammalia; Rodentia; Muridae. The record is from RNAcentral.
CUCCCACACUGACACGUGAUCCUCAGCACAGACCAAUCUGAAGACUAGGGCGGGGCCCAAGGGCUGAGUGCAGUAGCAAUGGCCGAUUGGAGAGCCCAUCACCAGCCCCUGGAGAGCCUGAGUUUUUAUUUUCGCUAAGGACUUCUAAGAUCACAAAUAACAUGCGCCGUGGUCCCAGAAACUCCUUUAUCACACUCCGAGGAAGGAAAGUGUUGCCUGGAGAGGACAUUGACGCCACCAGCUCAAUCGAGGCGGGCUCAGCCAUCAGUGGGUUUGUUUGGCCACUGGACGAACCGAUUUUUCCAACGUGACUCCUGUCAGACAUUUCCGUGGUAUCAGAAGCCACGUAAGACCUCCUGUGCGUUUGUUUGUUUUUGUUUUGUUUGUUUGUUUUGGUUUUUUUAAGGCUAGGGCAGCUACAGCAGACUUCGUCCUCAGACUGCAACUGUCACGUAUGGUGGUUAGGUUAAAGCAUCCACGUGACCCCCGGAAGACAGCGGGAAAGGUCUCAGGAGCUCGUAGAAAGAGGGUACCACUGGAUACGGGCAAUUACUUCACAGGCACGAAAUGA